This 273-nucleotide ribosomal RNA is filed under the name Trichomonas vaginalis G3. Its description in RNAcentral is "5.8S ribosomal RNA". The stretch from base 1 to 137 matches the Rfam family "Eukaryotic small subunit ribosomal RNA", at positions 1671 to 1831 of the family's 1831-position model. The record is from RNAcentral. Lineage: Eukaryota; Parabasalia; Trichomonadida; Trichomonadidae.
GCCCGUCGCUCCUACCGAUUGGAUGACUCGGUGAAAUCACCGGAUGCUUACGAGCAGAAAGUGAUUAAAUCACGUUAUCUAGAGGAAGGAGAAGUCGUAACAAGGUAACGGUAGGUGAACCUGCCGUUGGAUCAGUUCUAGUUUUAAUAACUAACACCAACUUCUUUUAUUAAACAAAAACCAAUACAAAAUUAAAAACUAACUUCAUCAAAAACCAAGUCUCUAAGCAAUGGAUGUCUUGGCUCCUCACACGAUGAAGAACGUGGCAUAAUG